ACCCUGGACGGGGGAUAACUCAGCUUGUCCGUCGAUGAAAAGCGCGGCCAGUCGUAAGAACUGAUGCGAAUUGCAGGACUCAAUGAACAUCGACACCUCGAAAGCACAUUACAGCCUUGAGAUCC
Non-coding RNA from Acanthosepion pharaonis, 125 nucleotides. Lineage: Eukaryota; Metazoa; Mollusca; Cephalopoda; Sepiida; Sepiidae. The record is from the annotation of a GenBank genome assembly.